CCUACGGGGGGCAGCAGUGGGGAAUUUUGGACAAUGGGGGCAACCCUGAUCCAGCCAUGCCGCGUGCGGGAAGAAGGCCUUCGGGUUGUAAACCGCUUUUGUCAGGAGAGAAAUCUCUUGGGCUAAUACCCUGAGAGGAUGACGGUACCUGAAGCAUAAGCACCGGCUAACUACGUGCCAGCAGCCGCGGUAAUACGUAGGGUGCAAACUUUGCUCGGAAUUACUGCGCGUAAAUGUGCAAGAGGCGUGUGAAAUCCCCGGGCUUAACCUGGGAACUGCACUUGUGACUGCACGGCUAGAGUACGGCAGAGGGGGAUGGAAUUCCGCGUGUAGCAGUGAAAUGCGUAGAUAUGCGGAGGAACACCGAUGGCGAAGGCAGUCCCCUGGGCCUGUACUGACGCUCAUGCACGAAAGCGUGGGGAGCAAACAGGAUUAGAUACCCGUGUAGUC
This 450-nucleotide ribosomal RNA is filed under the name uncultured bacterium. RNAcentral describes it as "partial 16S ribosomal RNA". It matches the Rfam family "Bacterial small subunit ribosomal RNA", at positions 338 to 795 of the family's 1533-position model. The record is from RNAcentral.